This 465-nucleotide ribosomal RNA is filed under the name uncultured bacterium. RNAcentral describes it as "partial 16S ribosomal RNA". It matches the Rfam family "Bacterial small subunit ribosomal RNA", at positions 28 to 507 of the family's 1533-position model. The record is from RNAcentral.
GACGAACGCUGGCGGCGUGCUUAACACAUGCAAGUCGAACGGAAAGGCCCUGCUUGCAGGGUACUCGAGUGGCGAACGGGUGAGUAACACGUGGGUGAUCUGCCCUGCACUUCGGGAUAAGCCUGGGAAACUGGGUCUAAUACCGGAUAGGAGCCAUUUUUAGUGUGAUGGUUGGAAAGUUUUUUCGGUGUAGGAUGAGCUCGCGGCCUAUCAGCUUGUUGGUGGGGUAAUGGCCUACCAAGGCGGCGACGGGUAGCCGGCCUGAGAGGGUGGACGGCCACAUUGGGACUGAGAUACGGCCCCGACGCCUACGGGAGGCAGCAGUGGGGAAUAUUGCACCAUGGGCGCAAGCCUGAUGCAGCGACGCCGCGUGGGGGAUGACGGCCUUCGGGUUGUAAACUCCUUUCGCUAGGGACGAAGCUUUUUGUGACGGUACCUAGAUAAGAAGCACCGGCUAACUACGUG